UACGAAGGGUGCAAGCGUUACUCGGAAUUACUGGGCGUAAAGCGUGCGUAGGUGGUUCGUUAAGUCUGAUGUGAAAGCCCUGGGCUCAACCUGGGAAUGGCAUUGGAAACUGGCGACCUAGAGUGCGGUAGAGGGUAAUGGAAUUCCCGGUGUAGCAGUGAAAUGCGUAGAGAUCGGGAGGAACAUCUGUGGCGAAGGCGACUACCUGGACCAGCACUGACACUGAGGCACGAAAGCGUGGGGAGCAAACAGG
This 253-nucleotide ribosomal RNA is filed under the name uncultured bacterium. RNAcentral describes it as "partial 16S ribosomal RNA". It matches the Rfam family "Bacterial small subunit ribosomal RNA", at positions 524 to 776 of the family's 1533-position model. The record is from RNAcentral.